RNAcentral lists this ribosomal RNA (157 nucleotides) under Tuber brumale (winter truffle). Its description in RNAcentral is "5.8S ribosomal RNA". It matches the Rfam family "5.8S ribosomal RNA". From Rfam's summary of the family: 5.8S ribosomal RNA (5.8S rRNA) is a component of the large subunit of the eukaryotic ribosome. It is transcribed by RNA polymerase I as part of the 45S precursor that also contains 18S and 28S rRNA. Lineage: Eukaryota; Fungi; Ascomycota; Pezizomycetes; Pezizales; Tuberaceae. The record is from RNAcentral.
AAACUUUCAACAACGGAUCUCUUGGCUCUCGCAUCGAUGAAGAACGCAGCGAAAUGCGAUAAGUAAUGUGAAUUGCAGAAUUCAGUGAAUCAUCGAAUCUUUGAACGCACAUAGCGCCCUUUGGUAUUCCUUAGGGCAUACCUGUUCGAGCGUCACU